GCCUUAAUAGCUCAGUCGGUAGAGCACUCGCUUAGUAAGCGAAAGGUCGGGAGUUCGAUCCUCCCUUAAGGCU
Molecule: transfer RNA, 73 nt
Organism: Blastocystis sp.
Lineage: Eukaryota; Bigyra; Opalinata; Blastocystidae
Rfam family: tRNA
About the family: Transfer RNA (tRNA) molecules are approximately 80 nucleotides in length. Their secondary structure includes four short double-helical elements and three loops (D, anti-codon, and T loops). Further hydrogen bonds mediate the characteristic L-shaped molecular structure. tRNAs have two regions of fundamental functional importance: the anti-codon, which is responsible for specific mRNA codon recognition, and the 3' end, to which the tRNAs corresponding amino acid is attached (by aminoacyl-tRNA synthetases). tRNAs cope with the degeneracy of the genetic code in two manners: having more than one tRNA (with a specific anti-codon) for a particular amino acid; and 'wobble' base-pairing, i.e. permitting non-standard base-pairing at the 3rd anti-codon position.
Source: Rfam